Molecule: ribosomal RNA, 463 nt
Filed under: uncultured bacterium
Lineage: Bacteria
Description: bacterial SSU rRNA
Rfam family: Bacterial small subunit ribosomal RNA
Source: RNAcentral
GGCGGCGUGCCUAACACAUGCAAGUCGAGCGAGGAGAUCCUUCGGGAUGAUCCUAGCGGCGGACGGGUGAGUAACACGUGGGCAACCUGCCUCAUAGAGAGGAAUAGCCUUCCGAAAGGGAGAUUAAUACCUCAUAACAUUGCAGUUUCGCAUGGAACAGCAAUUAAAGGAGCAAUCCGCUAUGAGAUGGGCCCGCGGCGCAUUAGCUAGUUGGUGAGGUAACGGCUCACCAAGGCGACGAUGCGUAGCCGACCUGAGAGGGUGAUCGGCCACAUUGGGACUGAGACACGGCCCAGACUCCUACGGGAGGCAGCAGUGGGGAAUAUUGCACAAUGGGGGAAACCCUGAUGCCAGCAACGCCGCGUGAGUGAUGACGGCCUUCGGGUUGUAAAGCUCUGUCUUCAGGGACGAUAAUGACGGUACCUGAGGAGGAAGCCACGGCUAACUACGUGCCAGCCGCCGC